UGAGUAAAUCGGAUGAUCGCGUGCUUUUGCAUGAGGAAAGUCCGUGCUCCAUAGGGCAGGAUGCUGGAUAACGUCCAGUGGGGGCGACCCUAAGGAUAGUGCAACAGAAAGAUACCGCCUAAUUUAAUAUUAGGUAAGGGUGGAAAGGUGAGGUAAGAGCUCACCAGCGGUUAGGUGACUAACUGGCUCUGUAAACCCCAUCUGGAGCAAGACCAAGAAGGGACUGAAAAAGGUGGUAGCCCGCCGCCGUCCCAAUGGUAGGUCGCAGGAACCUAUUGGUAACAAUAGGUCAUAGAUAGAUGAUCAUCUAAGACAGAACACGGCUUAUAGAUUUACUCAUCAU
This 343-nucleotide RNase P RNA is filed under the name Schnuerera ultunensis. RNAcentral's name for it is "RNase P RNA component class A". It matches the Rfam family "Bacterial RNase P class A". Rfam says of the family: Ribonuclease P (RNase P) is a ubiquitous endoribonuclease, found in archaea, bacteria and eukarya as well as chloroplasts and mitochondria. The record is from RNAcentral. Lineage: Bacteria; Bacillati; Bacillota; Tissierellia; Tissierellales; Tepidimicrobiaceae.